GACGAACGCUGGCGGCGUGCUUAACACAUGCAAGUCGAACGGAAAGGCCCUGCUUUUGUGGGGUGCUCGAGUGGCGAACGGGUGCGUAACACGUGAGUAACCUGCCCUUGACUUUGGGAUAACUUCAGGAAACUGGGGCUAAUACCGGAUAGGAGCUCCUGCUGCAUGGUGGGGGUUGGAACGUUUCGGCGGUUGGGGAUGGACUCGCGGCUUAUCAGCUUGUUGGUGGGGUAGUGGCUUACCAAGGCUUUGACGGGUAGCCGGCCUGAGAGGGUGACCGGCCACAUGGGGACUGAGGUACGGCCCAGAGUGCUACGGGAGGCAGCAGUGGGGAAUAUUGCACAAUGGGCGGAAGCGUGAUGCAGAAACGCCGGGUGCGGGAUGACGGCCUGCGGGUUGUAAACAGCUGUCGCCUGUGACGAAGCGUGAGUGACGGUAAUGGGUAAAGAAGCACCGGCUAACUACGUG
This 468-nucleotide ribosomal RNA is filed under the name uncultured bacterium. RNAcentral describes it as "partial 16S ribosomal RNA". It matches the Rfam family "Bacterial small subunit ribosomal RNA", at positions 28 to 507 of the family's 1533-position model. The record is from RNAcentral.